This is a long non-coding RNA of Catharus ustulatus (Swainson's thrush), 1695 nucleotides long. RefSeq lists it as uncharacterized. The transcript is spliced from 8 exons. The record is from RefSeq and is a predicted model, not a curated record. Lineage: Eukaryota; Metazoa; Chordata; Aves; Passeriformes; Turdidae.
UCUCGGGGAGGAUUGCCUGGGGCAGAUUGAGCACAAACACCGAGAGCUGCAAUGGUGAAGAGAUGCAGUGAGUGAAAUUGUCGUGCCCUUUCAUCCUGGCUCACAGCUGUAAAAGCUGCGGAUGUUUUAAUGUGUGCAUGUGCAGUGGGAAGGAAGUGAGAGAUCAGAGUCGUGGGGAGCAGCAGCAAGGAUGAACUAAAUGACUGUAUUUGGUAUUUAAGAUACCACAUUAAAAAGGGCUGUGAACAUAAUAAAGAUAAGCAGGAUUACCAAGAGUCUUCACGGUGAAGCCAAUAAACAAACCUGACUGUAGGAAAUUGAGUUCUCAAGAAGUGUGAGAAAAGAACCUUGAAUUUACAGAAUCCUUUCUUUUGGCACUUGAUCACUCUAGCUGGCAGUAGAAACACAGGAACUUCAUGAACAAAGAAAAUCAGAGGAGAAGAAAAAUGGCUCUGCAGUCCUACUGGGAUCCAUUACCAUGGCAGUUUGGUCUCUCACACAUUAGGAAUUCAGUGGACACUGGGUGGUCUCACUGACCCCAUCUGGGCUGCACAGACCUAAACACCAGACAGCAAGUGUGUUCCUGCCAGUUUUGACAGGACAAGGAACCUGAUGAUGGUGGAAACGGGGAAAAUGAAACAGAUCUAAAAUAAUGUGUGAAGACCUUGCUUGGAUACAGCAGAUGCCUACCCUGAUGGUAAAUAGCAACUGACGUGAACCAAGCAUGACAGAUCCUGAAUCUCUCUUAUUUCCAAGCUUUGUGGAACUGCAUGAUGCCACAUGAAACAUGAAAUGAAAUGGAGCAAACAACAGCCUUAUGAAGGCAGGUGGCCCUUGUAUCCAUCCAUUUUUCCUUUUAAAUAGAAAUGACUGACAUAGCCCACAUCCUGCACACUUCCAAGACAAGAGCGUGUUCUUAACAGAGAAUAUAAGGACUGAGAGGCAGCUUGAAGGAUGAAUAAUUCAAAGAGGAGACCAUACCUUCACUGAGUUGGUUUUGGGUGUUUGUUUUUUUGUUUGUUUGUUUUAAAUUUGCACAGUCUACUCCACAGCACAUGGAUAUUCCUGAAGGAACUGCAGCCUGUGAAGAGUCCAGGCUGGACCAUGAAGGACUGCAACCCAGGGAAAGUCUCACAGUGGAACAGGAGAAAAGUGUGUGGAGGAAGAAACAUCAGAAAGAAGUUGACUGCAGCCCCUCACUCCUCAUCCCUUUCAACUACUUGGGAAAGAGGAUGUAUAGGAGUUGGAGAUGAGGGAGUGAAACUAACCUGGGGAAGAGCAGGGAGUGGGCUUUAGUUCUUAUCUGUUUUUUAGUAUUUGUCUCUUCUUGUCUGUUUCUCACCAUCAAACUAUAAAUUAUUUUUCAAUCAGUUAAUUUCCCCCAGAUUUAAUCUGUUCUGUCCACAACAGUAAAUUGCUAAGUGACCACCCCAUCUUUAUCUUGACACUCCAGCUUUUCCAUCUCAUUUUCUCCCCCUGUCCUGUUGAAGAAAGGGGGUGAGGGAGCUGCUGGGUGUGCAUCUGGCAGCCAGUCAAGGUCAAGACACCACAGAUUCUUUCAUUCUCUGCAACUUGCAGAAAAACUUGAAAACCAACAGAUUUUAUCUAGUCAAAUAAUAUUCCAUAUUACAAAUACAUGUGUCAAUGUGAAACCUAACACAUGUUUCUCUCCUUCAGGUUGAAAUAAAAGAUUUG